This 388-nucleotide long non-coding RNA is filed under the name Ananas comosus (pineapple). Its description in RNAcentral is "long non-coding RNA (ACOM_LNC018741)". The record is from RNAcentral. Lineage: Eukaryota; Viridiplantae; Streptophyta; Magnoliopsida; Poales; Bromeliaceae.
UUUGCUAACUAAUCCUCAAGUUAAACCUUAGACCCUUGUUUGGUUAGGAAUUAAGGGAUGGAAUAACUCCUUAACCCCAUAUUUAUUUCCAAACACCAACCAAAUGGGGUGGGGACCCCACCCCAAAUGGGCUAUUUCGGAAUAGCCCAUUUGACCCAUCCCACCCCACUACUCCAACCAAACAAAACACUAUUUUAUCCACUAUCCUUCUUAUCCCACCUACUCCAAUCAAAUAUUAUUUUUUACUAUCCAGAACUAACUCCAACUCCCAACCAAAAACAAAAAUACUCUAAUCUUAUCUUAAUUCUGAACUUAAGUCUAUUUCUGAAAUAAUUAAUUUUUUUUUAACCCCGAACCAAACGGUAUAUUCUGUCAUUUUGGAGAGAAU